Molecule: ribosomal RNA, 989 nt
Filed under: uncultured bacterium
Lineage: Bacteria
Description: bacterial SSU rRNA
Rfam family: Bacterial small subunit ribosomal RNA
Source: RNAcentral
GUGCCAGCCGCCGCGGUAAUACGGAGGGUGCAAGCGUUACUCGGAAUCACUGGGCGUAAAGCGCGCGCAGGCGGCCAUUUAAGUUGGAUGUGAAAGCCUACAGCUCAACUGUAGAACUGCAUCCAAAACUAUUUGGCUAGAGUGUGGGAGAGGAAGAUGGAAUUAGUUGUGUAGGGGUAAAAUCCGUAGAGAUAACUAGGAAUACCAAAAGCGAAGGCAAUCUUCUGGAACACUACUGACGCUGAGGCGCGAAAGCGUGGGGAGCAAACAGGAUUAGAUACCCUGGUAGUCCACGCAGUAAACGAUGAAUGUUAGUCGUCGGGUAGCUAGUCUAUUCGGUGAUGCAGCUAACGCAUUAAACAUUCCGCCUGGGGAGUACGGUCGCAAGAUUAAAACUCAAAGGAAUAGACGGGGACCCGCACAAGUGGUGGAGCAUGUGGUUUAAUUCGAAGAUACGCGAAGAACCUUACCUAGCCUUGACAUAUAUUAGAACAUUUUAGAGAUAGAAUGGUGCCUUCGGGAGCUUUUAUACAGGUGCUGCACGGCUGUCGUCAGCUCGUGUCGUGAGAUGUUGGGUUAAGUCCCGCAACGAGCGCAACCCUCGUCACUAGUUACUAACGGUUCGGCCGAGGACUCUAGUGAGACUGCCUUCGCAAGGAGGAGGAAGGUGAGGACGACGUCAAGUCAUCAUGGCCCUUACGGCUAGGGCAACACACGUGCUACAAUGGUUGGGACAAUGAGACGCAAUACCGCGAGGUGGAGCAAAUCUAUAAACCCAAUCUCAGUUCGGAUUGUUCUCUGCAACUCGAGAACAUGAAGCUGGAAUCACUAGUAAUCGUAGAUCAGCUAUGCUACGGUGAAUACGUUCCCGGGUCUUGUACUCACCGCCCGUCACACCAUGGGAGUUGAUUUCACCCGAAGCGGGGAAGCUAAACUGGCUACCCUCCACGGUGGAAUUAGCGACUGGGGUGAAGUCGUAACAAGGUAGC